CGAGAAAUUAGCAUUAAGGAUGCAUGUGUGUGACUUGGGGCAAAUCGCCGUGCACUUUGAAGCCUUCCAUGCUUGUCAUCUUAGUUUAGCUUGCUAGCCGCUAACAACGAUAGCAGAGUGCCCUCAAGGGAAACUCAGGCGAACAAGAGGAGAACCAGCGACAAUGUCAACUACUGGACGCGGUUUCAAGAUCAUGUUCGUGCUACAAAGAGCAGUUCCUCUUUUGGAGCUCGGGCGGCGCUUUGUGCCCCCGCUCUCAAUUACCACCUCCUUGUCCUGCGCGCCUGCUCCCAAUCAGCACUCAUCACUGCCCAUAUUUAAGUCCGCCUGAUCCAGGGAUCCGGCGCCAGAGUAUUCGGACUCAUUUGCGUGCUCCUCCCGUGUCUCCCGCUUCGCUGCCAGCUCCAACCACGGCGUUAAGCUCUUCCACCUCUUCACGCUCACGCUUCUGGCACGUUCCUUGUUCCCACGGACCACUGUCACGCCUUGGAUACGCAAACUCUGAGUCACUCCAAAAUACACCAUUCCCAUCUACUCCCUCCACCUCAGUCUGCUUUUGGGUCGAGUCCAAUUACAUACGAUUACGUAUCGUGACAUAUUCACUGAUAUACCUCAUUUCAGCGUGAAGGACUUUUCAAACUUUUACUGUACCUAUGUAUAAUAUGCACUAUUGACUUGUAUGCACUAUUAUACAUGAGAAAUUAUGGUAUGUGCGAUCACUGCGAUUAACUAUCGUCAUCUUCCCCACAGA
This is a long non-coding RNA of Phyllopteryx taeniolatus (common seadragon), 751 nucleotides long. RefSeq lists it as uncharacterized. The transcript is spliced from 3 exons. The record is from RefSeq and is a predicted model, not a curated record. Lineage: Eukaryota; Metazoa; Chordata; Actinopteri; Syngnathiformes; Syngnathidae.